AUACGUAGGGUGCAAGCGUUAAUCGGAAUUACUGGGCGUAAAGCGUGCGCAGGCGGUUUUUUGAGACAGAUGUGAAAUCCCCCGGCUCAACCCGGGGACUGCCAUUGUGACUGCAAAGCUUGAGUGCGGCAGAGGGGGGUGGAAUUCCAUGUGUAGCGGUGAAAUGCGUAGAUAUGCGGAGGAACACGGAUGGCGAAGGCAAUCCCCUGGGCAUGCACUGACGCUCAUGCACGAAAGCGUGGGGAGCAAACAGGAUUAGAUACCCUGGUAGUCCACGCCCUAAACGAUGUCAACUGGUUGUUGGGGAUUUAUUUUCUCAGUAACGAAGCUAACGCGUGAAGUUGACCGCCUGGGGAGUACGGCCGCAAGGUUAAAACUCAAAGGAAUUGACGGGG
RNAcentral lists this ribosomal RNA (395 nucleotides) under uncultured bacterium. RNAcentral's name for it is "partial 16S ribosomal RNA". It matches the Rfam family "Bacterial small subunit ribosomal RNA", at positions 523 to 918 of the family's 1533-position model. The record is from RNAcentral.